UGCUUUCUGCUUCCUUUCCCUGUGCGCCCUGUCCAAUCUGCUGCUCUUAGCAUGGCUGACCCUCCAGGAUUGCCCUGGUGUCUCCAGGAAUGAGAGAGCAAUCUCUUGGAGGCUGCUGAGAGUGCAAGUCUCUGAGUCUGCAUAAUUUCUAAAUAAGACAACGUUUGAUGAAGAAUUAAACCACAGCAAAACAAAAGAGCCAUGUGCCCAAGUGGGAAAGACCAGUUUUCUUGGUUAUGUUUGAAUCAUGAAAGUCAAGAUGUUCAGGCAGUAUGUUUCCAGCAGCUGUUUGCACAUUCAAGAAGCAAGGAGUUAGAAAAGCAGCAGAGAAAAACCAAGUGAUACCUUUACAAGUGAUGCUUCUUUUAGGAACCAGGGGCUGAGAGUGGAGAGCUGCAUGUAUCCUGGGGGUGGGAUGGAGCUCUUCUGAGCAUCUUGAAGUCUGGUGCUUCCUUGAAGAACAGCUGUUCAGAUGGUGUCCUGUACUGUGGGCCAGGGAUGACCACAUUAAGACAAUUACAAGUGAAAGUAAAGGCCGAUUCUCAGCUGAGGUAAAGUGAAGUCUGUGGAGCUACACAGAUAAGCAACAGCUGAGGAUCUGCGUCAGCUUUUUAAACUGUCACCCCUGCAAACUGUGCCUUACCCAGCAAAUGCAGCACCAAGCCAUAGCCGCUGCCCAAGCCUUGUAGAAAUGCUCUAAAAGCAGCAGGUGAUGCAGAAGCCAUUACAUCUCUGGGCAAUCUGUUCCAGAGGCUUGUUGCCCUCAAUGCAAAAAAUACUGCACCUCAUUUCUAGUCCAAAGCUUCUAGCUACAGCUUCCAGCUAUUGGUCUCACUGGGUGUGUCUAUAUGGUGCAAGACAGUGUUAGGCCAGAACUUGAUCUACGUAUACUAGUUUUGCAAACAGAAGGCAUACAGAUGCAUCAGUACAGUACUGCAUCCAGGGCAUUAGGUGACUACUUAGAUUAGGGGCAACACCUUGCUGAUAUGCCUAUACUGCUUUCAGUUCUGAAGCUAAUAAUGCAUGCUGGCAUGGCUUAGGUAUUUCUGCAUGGCACUGUCUUGCACUGUGUGGACUGUAUACCACCUAGAUGGUUUACAGUGAACCUGGGGUAUCUGCACAGCACUGCAUUUUGCCAUGAAGUCAUACCCAUUACCUCUUUUUUUUCUAGACUGAGGAGCUGCCUAUAGACCUCUCUUUCCCAAGAUGAUAUUUAUAGACCCUAAUCAAAUCACCUCUUUUUUUGGAUAAGAUAAAUCAGUUGAGCUUCAUAAAUCUCUGCCCUGUCUCUCUCAAACAGCCAAGUUGUACAAGGAAAGGGGGAGAGAAGCAGAGAUGUUUAGUUUGGGGAGAGGGGACAAUAACAGCAGCUUUCAGGCUGCCACGAAGAGGGGGAACAACUAACCGUUUUCCCUUGCUACAGAGGGCAAGACACGAGGCAAUGGGUUUAAACUGCAGCAAAGCAGAUUUGGAUGAAAUCUCAGGGAAAACAUCUUUACUGUAAGAUCAGUAGGACAGUGGAAUAAGCUGCCAGGUAAACCGUGGAAUCUACUUCCUUAGAGGUUUUCAAGAGGCUGAAUAAGCAUCUGGAACGCGGGCAACCUGCCCUUGCAGUGAGCGCUGGGAGCUGAGGUCAGGAACUAGUUAGGAGUCAAAUUAAGGUGAGGAAAUGGAAAAAUGGGCUGAAGAGUCAUAGGUCAGUGUCAGGGCCAGGAAUCCCAAGUCUAGGGCAGGACAUGAGGGCCAGGACUGGGAAGGGGGACAAGGUAAAUGCAGAAGCUGGGGGCUGGGAGCACAAGAAUUAGGACUGGAGCUGGGAGGUAGGGGCAUGCAGGAAACAGGGCAGGAGCGGGAGGCAAAUUCACAACUGGUCAGAGAGCAGGGCAGAGCUGCCAGCUCUGCUGGCACUGAGUAGCUGACGUCCUCCGGGAGGAUGGCCCUUAUACCCUGAGGUCUGGCGUCCUGGAGCCAAUCAGGUGUUCAGGCACAACUGGACCCAAACAGGUGGCUUGUGGCAGGCCUUGGGCUUGGUGUAAGCCAUGGCUAGGCAAUGUUUUUGGCCAGAGUGCCGAAAAAAUUGCAAUGUCUACCUUGUAAGGUGCCGGCAUGUGAG
Gavialis gangeticus (Gharial) is the source of this 2113-nucleotide long non-coding RNA. RefSeq lists it as uncharacterized. Lineage: Eukaryota; Metazoa; Chordata; Crocodylia; Gavialidae. The record is from RefSeq and is a predicted model, not a curated record. The transcript has 5 exons.